RNAcentral lists this microRNA (24 nucleotides) under Pundamilia nyererei. Its description in RNAcentral is "pny-miR-144". Its record names the gene pny-miR-144. The record is from miRBase by way of RNAcentral. Lineage: Eukaryota; Metazoa; Chordata; Actinopteri; Cichliformes; Cichlidae.
AGGAUAUCAUCUUAUACUGUAAGU